GGCAUGUUCGAGGCCGCCACAGGGCAGCUGGGAGCCAGGAGGCCAGCAUGUCCUCUUCCCUCACGGGCUGAGCAGCCCCAGGAAAGUGUCCGCACCUCUCUGGGCCCUUGUAGGCUGGGAUGAUCCUACCUGGAAUUGAGGACCGCAGGGAAGACCUUGAGAUGAGGGGACACAGUGACGGGAAACACGGCCGCCUGGCUGGGCCUGGAGGAGAGGGGUCCUGGGGAGGGUGGGCCGUGUGGACAGUGGGACCCCUGAUGGCUGCAGGGCCUGGACACAGGGCUGGAUGAAGCCUUGAACCCUGCCCCCCUCCGUGAUCUCAGGCGCGCCUCGUUUUGGGUCAGCCACGUCUCAAGCGCUCGGUGGCCCUGUGUGGCCCGUGCCACCGUGCUCCCCAUCCUGAGUUGUCCAUCCGGAGCGUGUCCGGGUGAGUGCAGUGGCCAACACGCAUCGGACCGCAUGCUCAAAGUGGGAGCGUUCCUCAUGUACGAAUUAUACUUCGAUACAAUCGAUCGCUCAUAGAAUUAAAUACGAUAGAUUGAUCUGGAUUACAUUUGAAAACCUGGGCCUGCUGCUCGGAGGCAGGGAGCUGUGGGAAGCCUGGUCUGGGAGCCCCAUGUGCGGUGCAGGGCUGGUGCCUCUGGGCCUCCCUCUGCUCCUCUGUAAAUGAGGAGUUGCCGCGGUGACAUGCGACAGGCCCAGCCCACUGCACGCCUGGCUCGGCACGCGGUGGAUCCUACCCCUGUUCCAGACACUGCUUCGCAGACUGUAAAGGGCUGUGCACGUGUGAAGCUGUAGCUCUUGUGUUGUGUGCCAGACCCCUGAGACUUGGGGUCAAGCCACUCACAGCUCAGGGCUGGCCUGGCCAGAGGUGGGCCCUCAGUCCUCCCGCAGGUCCUGACCCAGCACAGCCGAGGCCAGGCCUGUCCCGAGGUCUCUGUGAUCUGUCCCCUCCUGCUUCUCCAGCGCCUGGAGCUGAGGGACGGGAGACUCCAGCCGCCAGGCGCUGUCACGGCCUUCCCUGAAGCCGCCAAGUGGUUACGCAGCAAGAUGUGAGCUGCGGACUGAUUCUCUCCUAGCCGAAUCCCACCUGCUCCACGGCACGGAGCAGGCUUCAGCCUCCUGCCGGAGCCAGCACCAGGGGGUGUUUAAAUACGUGUGCAAAGAAAGAAUUUAAUGCUCGGGAGCGUCAUAUACAUAUUUCACCAAAGACGCACGAAACUGGGACUCGGAAGCCUGGAAUGCUGCCGGAGGGCAGGUAAGGAUUUAAGGGGGCUCGGGCAAAACGGAAGGGCACGCACCGCUCCGGGGCGGGAAGCUACACUCUUCAGAUGUCGGCACUCCCGGUUUACCGAUUCCGUGCAAACGCCGGCAAAAUCCUAGCUGCCUCCCCCCCGAAAUUAACAUGGUUAUCUUAAAGCUCACAUGGAAACACAAGGGGCCCAAAAUAGCCGAAACAGUCUUAAAAAAGAACAAAGUUGGAGAACUCACAUGUCUCGAUUUUAAAGUUUAUUACAAAGGCACCGUGGCACGGCACAGGGGCGGACGGGGACCGAUGGGAUAGAACUGGGGGUGCAGAAAUAAACCCCUUGCUUGCCGUCCACCGAUUUCUGUAAAGCACGUUUUUAAACAUUAAAGGUAUUGAGGUGACGUCGGUUAAUAAAAUUAGAUAGGCUGCGAUCGCAAUUCCAUAAGGCAUGGAUGGCUGCAGGGCAGGCCGGCCUCCCGUGGUCUGGUCUCCUUCCGUCACCGUCACCGUCAUGUCACCGUCACCGUCAUGUCACCAUCACCGUCACGUCACCGUCACCGUCACGUCACCGCCACGUCACCGUCACCGUCACCGUCACGUCACCGUCACCGUCACGUCACCAUCACCAUCACGUCACCGUCACGUCACCGUCACGUCACCGUCACGUCACCGCCACCGCACCGUAACCGUCACGUCGCCGGGUGUUAGGUCCCCCUCCCGUCUCCCUCGUAACCACUGCGCUGGCACCUGUGUCUGCGAGGUUGUCUGUCUGUCUGUCUCAUUCGUUCGUCGCUUUCGGUGUUAUACGCACAUACGAGUGAAAUCUUUGAUUUCUGGCAAAAGAGCCAAGACCGCCCAAUGGGGAAAGAAUAGUCUUUUCGACAAAUGGUGCGGGGACACCGGGGCUGGCCAGCGGCUUCUUAGCCGUGACACCAGAAGCACAAGCGACAAAAGAAAAAUAGAUGAAACGGACAUCACCAAAAUUUAAGACUUUCGGCUUUCGAAGGACACCCCUGGAAAAGUAAAAUGAACCUCCGGAACGCAAGAACAUUUCUGCAGGGUGUAUCUGGUAAGGGACUUGUGCCUAGAAAAGAUGAUGAAAAGACAAACGACCCGAUGUUUACAAUAAGCAAAGGAGCUAAACAGACGUUUCUGCAAAGAAGACGCACGAAGGGCCGGCACACACAGCAAAGAGGCCACAUGGCCAUGGCCGGCUCGUCCCUUCCCCCACCCAGAUUAGCAAAUGCGAGUCAAAGCCACAGUGAGACGCUGCCUCGCGUCCACCAGGGCGGCUCACAGGACCACGAGGAACGACGCCCGUGGGCGCGGCUGCGGACACACGGGAGCCCUCGUGCGUUGCCGGUGGGGGGAUAAGGUGCCGCCGCCACCGUGGAGUCUGGCGGUCCCUCGAGCGGGUAAACAGAGCCACCGUGUGACCCAGCAAUGCCGCUGGGUCCACACGCCCGCACAAAAACCCAUACACGGGUGUUCACAGCGGCAUGUUAGUAAUGUCCCCAAAUCGGAAACAACCGGAAUGUCCACUGGCUGAUGAAUGACAGGCCAACAUGUCCGUCCACACGGUGGGCUGUCACUCAGCCUCAGAGAGGAAGGACACUGACACCUGCCACGGUGUG
Long non-coding RNA from Pteropus alecto (black flying fox), 2883 nucleotides. RefSeq lists it as uncharacterized. Lineage: Eukaryota; Metazoa; Chordata; Mammalia; Chiroptera; Pteropodidae. The record is from RefSeq and is a predicted model, not a curated record. The transcript is spliced from 3 exons.